This is a long non-coding RNA of Octopus bimaculoides (California two-spot octopus), 500 nucleotides long. The record is from RefSeq and is a predicted model, not a curated record. Lineage: Eukaryota; Metazoa; Mollusca; Cephalopoda; Octopoda; Octopodidae.
CUUGACAUCUGAGUAAAGUGGUUGUGACCAAUUAUCAAGAACACUGAUUAUGAAUGUAAAACAUUCAUGUGCACCAGCAAUGAUAAUAAAAACCUUCAACAUUCUCUAAAGAUUAUUGAUGGAUGAAGGUCUUCAAAAGACUUAUAAUUCAAAUACAUUCCAGUUUGAUGCUUUACAGGCAUCCACAAAUAUGAUACCUGGUGAUAAUUAAAGAUUAGACCUAUUCAAAUGAAUUGUAGAUUUAGAUUAAAAUAUUAAAAUGUACAAACACAAAAUAAUAAUUCUGUAAUGGUUCUUUUUGUAAGCUAAUGUAGAAGUAAUGAUGGUGAUUGUGAUGAUGUGAUGAAAAUAUGUUUGUUUUUUUUUUUGCAGAAAACUAGCAAAGACAUACUUUGAAGGACAUAAGGGUUACAGUAACCUUUUGAAAGACAUAAGUAGAGGAGAUGUCGACAAAAGAAGAGCUCAAAAUCUAGCAAAAGACUAUAUUGGAGAGAGCAAGG